ACUGGCUGCUCUGAAAAGCCAUCUUUGCAUUGUUCCUCGUCCGCCUCCUUGCUCGCCGCAGCCGCCUCCGCCGCGCGCCUCCUCCGCCGCCGCGGUCUCCGGCAGCUUUAUCGCCAGAGUCCCUGAACUCUCGCUUUCUUUUUAAUCCCCUGCAUCGGAUCACCGGCGUGCCCCACCAUGUCAGACGCAGCCGUAGACACCAGCUCCGAAAUCACCACCAAGGACUUAAAGGAGAAGAAGGAAGUUGUGGAAGAGGCGGAAAAUGGAAGAGACGUCCCUGCUAACGGGAAUGCUGUGAGUGUCCGCCUUGCUCCUGAGCCCUGGCAGCUACCGCCCCACAGUUUUUCCUGUUCUACUUUAAACAUAUAUAGCUUUGCACAGUGGCAGUAUCGUUAGCCAAUGAGCUUUACCCGAGGCGCGAUUAUUGCUAGUUAAAUAUUUAUAAAAACUUUUCGAGCAGCGCCUGAACAAGAAUAGGUUCAGAGGAGACAUCGGUAGUCUGAGUUUGGGCUUGGCCCAGGGUGGGUAAAAGCCCUUGCCCUGGGGCAGUUAAUGUGCAGGUUUCACGUUGGAGCCUGGAGGGUGUUGACUGGAGAAGGGCCUUUGGGGUGGGCUUGGCUGGGCUGUAGAUGGAGCUGGCAGCCUCUGGUGGGAGGCCGGGCGUCAGGAGCAACGCUUUGUCCAGCCUUGGGCCAGCUGGUAGUGACAUGGCCUGUUUUCUGUCGAGGAGAAUGAGGAAAAUGGGGAGCAGGAGGCUGACAAUGAGGUAGAUGAAGAAGAGGAAGAAGGUGGGGAGGAAGAGGAGGAGGAAGAAGAAGGUGAUGGCGAGGAAGAGGAUGGAGAUGAAGAUGAGGAAGCUGAGUCAGCUACGGGCAAACGGGCAGCUGAAGAUGAUGAGGAUGACGAUGUCGAUACCAAGAAGCAGAAGACCGACGAGGAUGACUAGACAGCAAAAAAGGAAAAGUUAAACUAAAAAAAAAAGGCCGCCGUGACCUAUUCACCCUCCACUUCCCGUCUCAGAAUCUAAACGUGGUCACCUUCGAGUAGAGAGGCCCGCCCGCCCACCGUGGGCAGUGCCACCCGCAGAUGACACGCGCUCUCCACCACCCAACCCAAACCAUGAGAAUUUGCAACAGGGGAGGAAAAAAGAACCAAAACUUCCAAGGCCCUGCUUUUUUUCUUAAAAGUACUUUAAAAAGGAAAUUUGUUUGUAUUUUUUAUUUACAUUUUAUAUUUUUGUACAUAUUGUUAGGGUCAGCCAUUUUUAAUGAUCUCGGAUGACCAAACCAGCCUUCGGAGCGUUCUCUGUCCUACUUCUGACUUUACUUGUGGUGUGACCAUGUUCAUUAUAAUCUCAAAGGAGAAAAAAAACCUUGUAAAAAAAGCAAAAAUGACAACAGAAAAACAAUCUUAUUCCGAGCAUUCCAGUAACUUUUUUGUGUAUGUACUUAGCUGUACUAUAAGUAGUUGGUUUGUAUGAGAUGGUUAAAAAGGCCAAAGAUAAAAGGUUUCUUUUUUUUCCUUUUUUGUCUAUGAAGUUGCUGUUUAUUUUUUUUGGCCUGUUUGAUGUAUGUGUGAAACAAUGUUGUCCAACAAUAA
RNAcentral lists this small RNA (1599 nucleotides) under Pongo abelii (Sumatran orangutan). Its description in RNAcentral is "retained intron". The stretch from base 1409 to 1492 matches the Rfam family "mir-1244 microRNA precursor family". Lineage: Eukaryota; Metazoa; Chordata; Mammalia; Primates; Hominidae. The record is from RNAcentral.